RNAcentral lists this ribosomal RNA (253 nucleotides) under uncultured bacterium. RNAcentral describes it as "partial 16S ribosomal RNA". It matches the Rfam family "Bacterial small subunit ribosomal RNA", at positions 524 to 776 of the family's 1533-position model. The record is from RNAcentral.
UACAGAGGUCUCAAGCGUUGUUCGGAUUCAUUGGGCGUAAAGGGUGCGCAGGCGGCCGUGUGUGUGAGGCGUGAAAGCCCGGGGCUUAACCCCGGAAUUGCACCUCAAACUACAUGGCUAGAGCAUUGGAGAGGGUAGCAGAAUUCAUGGUGUAGCAGUGAAAUGCGUAGAUAUCAUGAGGAAUACCAGAGGCGAAGGCGGCUACCUGGACAAUUGCUGACGCUCAGGCACGAAAGCGUGGGGAGCAAAAGGG